AAUAUUGCACAAUGGGGGAAACCCUGAUGCAGCAACGCCGCGUGAGCGAUGAAGGCCUUCGGGUCGUAAAGCUCUGUCCUCAGCGAAGAUAAUGACGGUACCUUAGGAGGAAGCCCCGGCUAACUACGUGCCAGCAGCCGCGGUAAUCCGAAGGGGGCAAGCGUUAUCCGGAAUCAUUGGGCGUAAAGGGUGCGUAGGCUGCCCUAUAGUUCAGAGGUCAAGGGCUACGGCUCGACCGUAGUAAGCCUUUGAAACUGUAGGGCUUGAGUGCAGGAGAGGAGAGUGGAAUUCCUAGUGUAGCGGUGAAAUGCGUAGAUAUUAGGAGGAACACCAGUGGCGAAGGCGACUCUCUGGACUGCAACUGACGCUGAGGCACGAAAGCGUGGGUAGCGAACA
Molecule: ribosomal RNA, 396 nt
Filed under: uncultured bacterium
Lineage: Bacteria
Description: partial 16S ribosomal RNA
Rfam family: Bacterial small subunit ribosomal RNA
Source: RNAcentral